UGCAAGUCGAACGCGGUUGCCCCGCAAGGGGUAACUGAGUUGGCGAACGGGUGAGUAACACGUGGGUGACCUACCUUCGAGUGGGGGAUAACGUCCCGAAAGGGACGCUAAUACCGCAUAACAUCCUGCCUUUGAACAGGUGGAGAUCAAAGCUGGGGAUCGCAAGACCCGGCGCUUGAUGAGGGGCCCGCGUCCGAUUAGCUAGUUGGUGAGGUAAUGGCUCACCAAGGCAACGAUCGGUAGCCGGCCUGAGAGGGCGGACGGCCGCACUGGGACUGAGACACGGCCCAGACUCCUACGGGAGGCAGCAGUGGGGAAUUGUUCGCAAUGGGCGCAAGCCUGACGACGCAACGCCGCGUGGAGGAUGAAGGUCUUCGGAUUGUAAACUCCUGUUGCCCGGGACGAAUGGCUCCGACCUAAUACGUCGGAGUGUGACGGUACCGGGUGAGGAAGCCCCGGCUAACUCUGUGCCAGCAGCCGCGGUAAUACAGAGGGGGCAAGCGUUGUUCGGAAUUACUGGGCGUAAAGGGCGCGUAGGCGGCCCGUCAAGUCGAACGUGAAAUCCCCGGGCUCAACCCGGGAACUGCGUCCGAUACUGGCAGGCUUGAAUUCGGGAGAGGGAUGCGGAAUUCCAGGUGUAGCGGUGAAAUGCGUAGAUAUCUGGAGGAACACCGGUGGCGAAGGCGGCAUCCUGGACCGAUAUUGACGCUGAGGCGCGA
Molecule: ribosomal RNA, 719 nt
Filed under: uncultured bacterium
Lineage: Bacteria
Description: bacterial SSU rRNA
Rfam family: Bacterial small subunit ribosomal RNA
Source: RNAcentral